Molecule: long non-coding RNA, 3806 nt
Organism: Olea europaea var. sylvestris
Lineage: Eukaryota; Viridiplantae; Streptophyta; Magnoliopsida; Lamiales; Oleaceae
Exons: 2
Source: RefSeq, a predicted model, not a curated record
AUGACAGUGGAGGCUCAGAGGGUUGACAUUGGUGUUCUUUCGUGGCUGUCUCUGAGCUUCCCAAUUCCGAAUGCUUCGAGGCUGAAAUUUCUUUAUCACUGGAGACCUCAUCCUUAUCCAACGAACUUUGCCCAUAGACGAGAUUUUUCCCCAGUACUCCAUGUGAUAUCACCGACCACGGCGUUGAUACGUUUUUUAUAAAUCUCUGAUUUUCUCUGAUGGUAGAUUUUUCAUGGCUGUUGUCGUUCUCCAUUCUUCCUGAAUCCUCUUAGCUACUUCGUACAACUGUGCUCUCUCCCGCAUUGUUAAUUUUAACUGAAAUUUCUAGAAUGUGUUCACUUCUUCUGCAUGAUGCUCGAUUGUAAUCUUCUCCCUCCACCGAUAAUAUAAUCUUUUUCCCAAUUGCAGCAGAUCGGAGCUAAAACGAGAAUAAUGUGAUGAUUUUUAGGUUGGAUUACGUAGGUUAAUUGAGUAUGAAUGGGGGUUGGAUAAGAGUGUAUAAGUGGGCUAGAAGCUAGAUUUAAGUGGUUUGGGCUACUGUAAUUAAUUUAGGCCUGCCUUACUAUAUCAUUCAUAUCUUCCACGUGUUGGGCCAACUCCAUAUCGUAGUCCAACCCUAUCUCCUUCAGCAAUUUCUUUUUGUUUCUACUGUCCAGAUUCAGAUUCUUCAGUUUUAACCCAUUACCAGAGAAAUUUCCCCAUCAUCGAGCUCUGUCAUCUUCUCCACCUUUGGCAAUAGUAAUGCUAAGAUUUCGGUUGAACUCCCAUCUCUGAUGAUUCUCUUAGGCCGAUCCUGGUGCGCUCUAUUCACCCCAACUUUACCAGAUCAAUGUGGAUAUGCAUGGGUAAUUCCCGAUGAAGUAGCGACCUCCUUUUCCUUUCUAGCCAGCUCCUUCCAGCGAUCUGUGCUACGGCUAUUUGCUCCGACUUCCUUCAAUUUUGGAAAGCUCUCAGAAGCGAUGGUGAGUUUCAGAUCCACAUUGUUUUCGGUCAGAUUAAGUGCAAUUCCCUUUUCUUUCCUACCGCUUUCGUGAAUUUCCUUUUUCUACAAUUCGAAUUUCUCCUCCUCUUCUAGUGAUGACAGUUCCUUUGUGCAAUGGAAUAUUUUCUCCACUGAUGAUGACGAUGGGGACACAUGUACUUUACCUGGCUAUUCUUCUCGUGCCGUCUCCCGAUUCAACUCAUUCCCCUACUUCCAAUCUGAAAAUUUACCAACGGAGAUCUGCUUCAUGGGAAAUCAAACCAUCAUCCUCACCUUCAAUUCUACCCAAGUCUCUAUUGGAUAGCUAUUGUCUAUCUUUUGGAACCAUGCCCAAGUCUCUCCAUAAAAGCAAGCAACUGUGGCUUCUACCUUUUUCCUCUCCGGUAAGCCGCGAUUCUUGUCUAGGCAUCAUUUUACCUCAAUCAGCCACGAAUCUAAAUUGUCCCCAUAGAAUAACAAUGUGUUGAGUCAGCCACAUGAACCCAACCCUGAAUCAUCAUUUUGAUCUCCUUCAUGUCGCCUUAACCUCAUCUCCAACAUACUCAUUACGAAGUUUAAACUCUCCUGUACUUCUCUGCUAAACAUAGUUUCCCUUUAUCUAAGAAUCGAAGGCUCUGAUACCAAUUGAUAGGAUCCUAAUUACUUCUAUUGAAUUCUUCUAUUGAUGAAUAGAGUCGAUGCUGCUGUUGCUCCUAUCUGGACCUGUGAAGUGUUGAUGAACCUGUCUUGUGGAUGAUUACUGGAUCUAGUUAGGUAGUUAAUAUGGUGGCUGAUUUAUGUAAUGGAAAGUGCAGAUGUAAUUGACAAAAUAAGCAAUAUGAAUUAGCUGGGAAGGAUGGAUUGUGAACAAUAAAUUAUUGUACUGUUUAUUCAAAUGAAAUGAAGAACGUAAAGUAAAUGAAAUGAAAAUUCCCAAGGCAUUCGAGAUGUCUUGGUCUCUCCCCAGUUUUCCCAAUCUUUCCUAAAUGAUUUCUCAGUUUUCUCCCUCAUUACAUUUAUAGAGAAUUUACUAGUUUGUUAUUACAAUUCUACCCUUUUCCUAACUAUGGAAUUCUCUAGAAUAGUAAACUAAUAACAACUUGUAUUGGAAUAUUGGAGAUGGGGAUCUACCAAGGAGCCACGAGAAUGAAAAGAAAAGCAAUCUUCUGAGAUGAGAAAAAAGAAAAUAGCGAAUUUCUUUUUAAAAGAGAGUGAGCUAAGGAGAGCGGCAGUCGAGAAAAGGGAAAUGAUUUUGUUGGUCUACAAAGAGUCACUUCUCAAUUUUGAGAAAACUAAUCCAUCCCUCCCCAGUUUGGCUAAAUCUUUAUUACAAGAGUUCGAGGAUGUAUUUCCAGAGGAUGUACCUAAUGGAUUGCCACCCAUUCGAGGCAUUGAGUACCAAAUUGACUUCAUACCGGGAGCUGUCAUUUCCAACCGACCAGCUUACUGAAGUAAUCCCGAGGAGACAAAUGAGCUUCAGAGGCAAGUGAAGGAGCUGAUAAGCAAGGGCUAUGUUAGGGAGAGCAUGAGUCAGUGUAUCGUACUAGUACUGUUUGGUGCCAAAGAAACAUAAGACAUGGAGGUUGUGCAUGGACUGCAGAGCCAUCAAUAAUAUAAUGAUAAAGUAUCGUCAUCCUAUCUCUAGAUUAGAUGACAUGGUGAUGAAUUACAUAGUGCAUACAUUUUUAGUAAAAUUGAUCUUAAAAGUGGUUAUCAUCAAAUCCGAAUAAGGGAAGAAGAUGAGUGGAAAACUGUAUUUAAGACCAAAUAUGAACUAUAUGAGUGGUUGGUAAGGCCACUUGGACUCACUAAUGCACUGAGCACUUUCAUGAGUUUAAUGAAUCAUUUUUUGCGUUUUUUUAUAGAAAAAUUUGUUGUGGUUUAUUUUGAUGACAUUUUAGUGUACAGAAAAGACCUAAAUAAGCAUGUGGAGCAUUUAAGAAAUGUGCUAGUGGCGUUAAGGAAAGAACAUCUCUACGCAAAUUUUAAGAAAUGUACUUUUUGCAUAGAAAAUGUCGUCUUUCUAAAUUUUGUGGUUAGUGCAAAUGGAGUAGAGAUAGAUGAGGAGAAGAUAAAAGUUGUUAAAGAUUGAUCUACACCUAAGAGUAUAAUCGAAGUGAGGAGUUUUCACAGGUUGGCUAGUUUUAUAUGCGGUUUGUAAAGACUUUAGCACAAUCACUAUACCACUCACGAAAGUAGUAAAGAAGAGCAUAGGCUUUCAUUGGGACGAUAAAUAGGAGCAUGCAUUUAAUACUAUUAACGAUAAAUUAUGUAAAGCACCUAUUUUAGCAUUACCUAAUUUUGAAAAAAAUGUUCAAGAUUGAGUGUGAUGUAUCAGGAAUAGAUAUUGGAGCAGUUUUAAUGCAGGAUAGGAGGCCUAUAGCUUAUUUCAGUGAAAAGAUGAGUGGGGGUUGUACUAAACUACCUAACUUAUGACAAAGAGCUAUACUCAUUUGUUCAGGCGUUGGAAACAUGGCAGAAUUACCUAUGGCCUAAGGAGUUCAUUAUUUACACCGAUCAUGAGUCGUUGAAGCACUUGUAAGGUCAAGGAAAGCUAAAUAAGAGGCACGCCAGUUGGAUGGAGUUUAUUGAAACAUUUCAUUACGUCAUUUGGUACAAGCAAGGUGAGCAUGGAACUACAUAGAGAGCACGACUAGCAAUGGAGCUCUUACAGGAUUCUAGAGUUCGAUGUACAUGGAUGACGACCCGUAGAGUUAUUUUGUGGGCUAUUAUUUUGAGCGUAUGCUCUAUUGUGUUAUAUGUUAGGGAUCCUGUGUUGUAUAUCUUUUAACAUGGCCUGUAGACAUAUUUAUAACCUCAAAAUAUAUAUGUUCGAUUAUGGUGA